Molecule: non-coding RNA, 780 nt
Organism: Peromyscus maniculatus bairdii (prairie deer mouse)
Lineage: Eukaryota; Metazoa; Chordata; Mammalia; Rodentia; Cricetidae
Source: RefSeq, a predicted model, not a curated record
ACUUUUGUAACUCAUUAGGAGAAAGAAACAAAAGGGUUCCCACAAGGGGCCAAUCUUACCUUCCAGGCUGUCUAAUUCAGCCAUCCAUCCUCUUCCAUUCAAUGCUUAGGUAACCAUUCAGUGGCUCCCGGGUGCUGAGUAUGGAGGCUUCAGGGAUGGACGGGGGUCAUGGGCUUCAGCCACCGACUACCCUUCGCGGCCCAGCCCCCAUCUGCAGUCCCUGCCAGAAGUCUCCAGUCUUUUUCGUGGCUGUGAGAUCUGUGUUGUCUCCAGGAGAGAAGAACUCAAUGGCUUAGAAUCAGCCCAAGGUCUCUAAAGUCCCAAGCUCUCCUCUGGCAUGUCUGCCCCUCGUUUCCAGCCCUCCCAUGCCUGGGUGGGUCCCCUCCUGUCUCCCCAUAUCCCAGUUCCUUUAAACAGGUCCCGGGUGCUUUUACCAGCCCUGGCAGGCACACCUGUCCCCUUGUUAAAGUCUUGCCAGGUGUGACAAACUCACCCUCGCCCAGCUGAGACUCGGCCAUUUGGGACUUUUCCUCAUCUUCUAUUGUUUCCAACUUUAACCGUCAUUCCGACUCAGCAGUCAUUGGAAAUUCCCAGCCUUCCCUGCUCUGGCAGCAGCCCGGGUCCUCGGAGAAGCAGAGGUACUAGCUUAUGUCAGGGUCACCUAUGCUCACCGAAGUAACAGGGGUGGGACCCCUUUCUCCAAAGGAAUAAGCUCUUCAGAGGGGCUGCCUUGUCAUGAUAUCCGUCUGUAGCUUCAUAAUCAACUCACUUUUUCAGUUA